This 433-nucleotide ribosomal RNA is filed under the name uncultured bacterium. RNAcentral describes it as "partial 16S ribosomal RNA". It matches the Rfam family "Bacterial small subunit ribosomal RNA", at positions 29 to 507 of the family's 1533-position model. The record is from RNAcentral.
AACGAACGCUGGCGGCAUGCCUAGCACAUGCAAGUCGAACGAGACCUUCGGGUCUAGUGGCGCACGGGUGCGUAACGCGUGGGAACCUGCCCUUAGGUUCGGAAUAACUCCCCGAAAGGGGUGCUAAUACCGGAUAAUGUCUUCGGACCAAAGAUUUAUCGCCUUUGGAUGGGCCCGCGUUGGAUUAGCUAGUUGGUAGGGUAAAAGCCUACCAAGGCGACGAUCCAUAGCUGGUCUGAGAGGAUGAUCAGCCACACUGGGACUGAGACACAGCCCAGACUCCUACGGGAGGCAGCAGUGGGGAAUAUUGGACAAUGGGCGAAAGCCUGAUCCAGCAAUGCCGCGUGAGUGAUGAAGGCCUUAGGGUUGUAAAGCUCUUUUACCCGGGAUGAUAAUGACAGUACCGGGAGAAUAAGCUCCGGCUAACUCCGUG